UUAGAUACCCUAUUAUAAAAUUAAUAAUGUUAAAGAGUAUAAUGAAAUUUAAAAAUUAUGGCGGUUAAUUAUUAAACUAGAGGAGCUUGUUUAUUUUAAUUAAGAAUUUACUCUUUAUAUUUUAUUGAAAAAUAAAGUUUAUUCAUCUCCGUUAUUAGAAUUAAAAUUAAUAAAAAAUUUUUUUUUGUAUUUCAGGUCAAGAUGUAGCAUUUUUUAAUAUAGGUUAGCUACAAUUUAUAAUAAGAUUAAUGGAUAAAUUUUUUGAGAAAUGCAAAUUUAGAAAUUGAAUUUAAUUGUAAUAAUUAAUUAGGAUAUUAUUAUGAACUUAUGUAAUUAGUGUACAUAUUGCCCGUCACUUCUAUUUAUUAAAAAUUGGAUAAGUCGUAACAAAGUA
RNAcentral lists this ribosomal RNA (394 nucleotides) under Camposicoloides sp. MZSP 73118. Its description in RNAcentral is "partial small subunit ribosomal RNA". The record is from RNAcentral. Lineage: Eukaryota; Metazoa; Arthropoda; Arachnida; Opiliones; Gonyleptidae.